UACGGAGGGUGCAAGCGUUAUCCGGAAUCACUGGGUUUAAAGGGUGCGUAGGCGGGGGAUUAAGUCAGUGGUGAAAGCCUGUAGCUUAACUACAGAAUUGCCAUUGAUACUGAUUUUCUUGAAUUGGGUUGAGGUUAGCGGAAUGUGACAUGUAACGGUGAAAUGUUUAGAUAUGUCAUGGAACACCGAUUGCGAAGGCAGCUAGCUGGGCCUUGAUUGACGCUGAGGCACGAAAGCGUGGGUAGCGAACAGG
This 253-nucleotide ribosomal RNA is filed under the name uncultured bacterium. RNAcentral's name for it is "partial 16S ribosomal RNA". It matches the Rfam family "Bacterial small subunit ribosomal RNA", at positions 524 to 776 of the family's 1533-position model. The record is from RNAcentral.